AUUGAACGCUGGCGGCAGGCCUAACACAUGCAAGUCGAGCGGAUGAAGCGAGCUUGCUCCUGGAUUCCGCGGCGGACGGGUGAGUAAUGCCUAUGAAUCUGCCUGGUAGUGGGGGAUAACGUCCGGAAACGGGCGCUAAUACCGCCUACGUCCUGCGGGAGCAAGUGGGGGAGCUUCGGACCUCACGCUCUCAGAUGGGCCUAGGUCGGAUUAGCUAGUUGGUGGGGUAAAGGCCUACUAAGCCGACGAUCCGUAACUGGUCUGAGAGGAUGAUCAGUCACACUAGAGCUGAGACACGGACCAGACUCCUACGGGAGGCAGCAGUGGGCAAUAUUGGACAGUGGGCGAAAGCCUUAUCCAGCCAUGCCGCGUGUGUGAAGAAGGUCUUCGGAUUGUAAAGCACUUUAAGUUGGGAGGAAGGGCAGUAAGUUAAUACCUUGCUGUUUUGACGUUAACAACAGAAUAAGCACCGGCUAACUUCGUG
RNAcentral lists this ribosomal RNA (484 nucleotides) under uncultured bacterium. RNAcentral describes it as "partial 16S ribosomal RNA". It matches the Rfam family "Bacterial small subunit ribosomal RNA", at positions 30 to 507 of the family's 1533-position model. The record is from RNAcentral.